RNAcentral lists this ribosomal RNA (254 nucleotides) under uncultured bacterium. RNAcentral's name for it is "partial 16S ribosomal RNA". It matches the Rfam family "Bacterial small subunit ribosomal RNA", at positions 524 to 776 of the family's 1533-position model. The record is from RNAcentral.
UACGGGGGGGGGCAAGCGUUGUUCGGAAUUACUGGGCGUAAAGGGCUCGUAGGCGGCCAACUAAGUCGAACGUGAAAUCCCCGGGCUCAACCCGGGAACUGCGUCCGAUACUGGCAGGCUUGAAUCCGGGAGAGGGAUGCGGAAUUCCAGGUGUAGCGGUGAAAUUCGUAGAUAUCGGAAGGAACGCCGGUGGCGAAAGCGACGCGCUGGACCUCUUCUGACGCUGAGGCGCGAAAGCCAGGGGAGCAAACGGG